Molecule: non-coding RNA, 21 nt
Filed under: Mus musculus (house mouse)
Lineage: Eukaryota; Metazoa; Chordata; Mammalia; Rodentia; Muridae
Also listed under: 1 other name
Source: RNAcentral
UAUGUAGUAUGGUCCACAUCU